This 277-nucleotide ribosomal RNA is filed under the name Phagomyia khazani. RNAcentral's name for it is "partial 28S ribosomal RNA". It matches the Rfam family "Eukaryotic large subunit ribosomal RNA", at positions 688 to 965 of the family's 3401-position model. Lineage: Eukaryota; Metazoa; Arthropoda; Insecta; Diptera; Culicidae. The record is from RNAcentral.
CGGGGGUCGGGUGGCAACCCGUGCGCGGAGUGAAAGCGAACGGAGGUGGGAGCCCCCUCGAGGGGCGCACCAUCGACCGAUCCUGAAGUCUUCGGAUGGAUUUGAGUAGGAGCGUAGCUGUGGGGACCCGAAAGAUGGUGAACUAUGCCUGAAUAGGGUGAAGCCAGAGGAAACUCUGGUGGAGGCUCGCAGCGGUUCUGACGUGCAAAUCGAUCGUCAAAUUUGGGUAUAGGGGCGAAAGACUAAUCGAACCAUCUAGUAGCUGGUUCCUUCCGAA